GAUGAACGCUGGCUACAGGCUUAACACAUGCAAGUCGAGGGGAAACGACGGGGAAGCUUGCUUCCCCGGGCGUCGACCGGCGCACGGGUGAGUAACGCGUAUCCAACCUGCCUCUGACUGAGGGAUAACCCGUCGAAAGUCGGCCUAAUACCUCAUGGCAUCGUCUGCGGGCAUCCAACGACGAUUAAAGAUUUCAUCGGUCAGAGAUGGGGAUGCGUCUGAUUAGCUUGUUGGCGGGGUAACGGCCCACCAAGGCGACGAUCAGUAGGGGUUCUGAGAGGAAGGUCCCCCAAAUUGGAACUGAGACACGGUCCAAACUCCUACGGGAGGCAGCAGUGAGGAAUAUUGGUCAAUGGGCGAGAGCCUGAACCAGCCAAGUAGCGUGCAGGAUGACGGCCCUAUGGGUUGUAAACUGCUUUUAUGCGGGGAUAAAGUGAGGGACGUGUCCUUCAUUGCAGGUACCGCAUGAAUAAGGACCGGCUAAUUCCGUG
RNAcentral lists this ribosomal RNA (491 nucleotides) under uncultured bacterium. RNAcentral describes it as "partial 16S ribosomal RNA". It matches the Rfam family "Bacterial small subunit ribosomal RNA", at positions 28 to 507 of the family's 1533-position model. The record is from RNAcentral.